GAUAAUAGUUACGCUGAACGGUGCCCACUGGUCACCCUAUAAAUAGUGCUCUUGUGUGUAGUAAUAUUGUAGUUCUAACACAUGUCUAAAAAUAGAAAGCUUAAAAUAGACAAUUCAUCUUUCUAUUUAGCAAUACACCAUAGAGCCUGUCACCGUCUGUAUUAUCUGAUAAUGUUAGCUGUCAUAAAAGAAAGAAGUAAAGCAUUUUUGGAAACUAUAUGGGAUUCAUGGAAAGGAAAUGCUGACGAAAAGUUUGGUACGGUGUAUGGGAAUGUUCUUUACGUAUCGGAUUUAAUGAGCUUAAAAAUUGAGGAGGAGUUGAAUGAUCAGGUAACAGUACUAAUGGUUUAAUUUAUGUAAUAAAGGUUAAACGUUUUCAAAGAUCUUGAACUCUCCUCUGAAACUACUGAACCAAUUCCAACCAAACGUAA
Mytilus californianus (California mussel) is the source of this 431-nucleotide long non-coding RNA. RefSeq lists it as uncharacterized. The record is from RefSeq and is a predicted model, not a curated record. The transcript has 3 exons. Lineage: Eukaryota; Metazoa; Mollusca; Bivalvia; Mytilida; Mytilidae.